GUAUGGUGCAAGCGUUAUCCGGAUUUACUGGGUGUAAAGGGUGCGUAGGUGGCAAGGCAAGUCUGAAGUGAAAAUCUGGGGCCCAACCCCGGGGCUGCAUUGGAAACUGUCAAUCUAGAGUACCGGAGAGGUAAGCGGAAUUCCUAGUGUAGCGGUGAAAUGCGUAGAUAUUAGGAGGAACACCGGUGGCGAAGGCGGCUUACUGGACGGUAACUGACGUUGAGGCUCGAAAGCGUGGGGAGCAAACAGGAUUAGAUACCCUGGUAGUCCACGCCGUAAACGAUGACUACUAGGUGUCGGGCAGCAAAGCUGUUCGGUGCCGCAGCAAACGCAAUAAGUAGUCCACCUGGGGAGU
This 355-nucleotide ribosomal RNA is filed under the name uncultured bacterium. Its description in RNAcentral is "bacterial SSU rRNA". It matches the Rfam family "Bacterial small subunit ribosomal RNA", at positions 527 to 881 of the family's 1533-position model. The record is from RNAcentral.